UACGUAGGGUGCAAGCGUUAAUCGGAAUUACUGGGCGUAAAGCGUGCGCAGGCGGUUUUGUAAGUCUGUCGUGAAAUCCCCGGGCUCAACCUGGGAAUUGCGAUGGAGACUGCAAGGCUGGAGUCUGGCAGAGGGGGGUAGAAUUCCACGUGUAGCAGUGAAAUGCGUAGAGAUGUGGAGGAACACCGAUGGCGAAGGCAGCCCCCUGGGUCAAGACUGACGCUCAUGCACGAGAGCGUGGGGAGCAAACAGG
RNAcentral lists this ribosomal RNA (253 nucleotides) under uncultured bacterium. Its description in RNAcentral is "partial 16S ribosomal RNA". It matches the Rfam family "Bacterial small subunit ribosomal RNA", at positions 524 to 776 of the family's 1533-position model. The record is from RNAcentral.